GGGGGCAUAGCUCAGCUGGGAGAGCAACAGACUGAAGUGAAAUGCUUGCGCUGCUCUUCUGGAGGUCCCCAGUUCAAUCCUGGGUGUCCCUA
This is a non-coding RNA of Armillaria mellea, 92 nucleotides long. The record is from the annotation of a GenBank genome assembly. NCBI's taxonomy places the organism in Eukaryota, Fungi, Basidiomycota, Agaricomycetes, Agaricales, Physalacriaceae.